Vicia faba (fava bean) is the source of this 477-nucleotide non-coding RNA. The record is from the annotation of a GenBank genome assembly. Lineage: Eukaryota; Viridiplantae; Streptophyta; Magnoliopsida; Fabales; Fabaceae.
AUAGAAGAAACCAUCCAUCUAACCUUUCUAUUUCUCUGGUACUUCCUCACAUCACAACAAACCCCAUCCAUUUCCUUCAAUUACCGUAACCCCUCCCUUCCACUGUUAACAAACAUCACCAACAGUAACCCUCCUUCGCCCAACGUCCGCUUUCCGUUUAUCACCAUCCUCAUCAACCUCAUCUCUAAUCCGUCAUCAAACUCCCUCUCUCUCGCCAAGCAAUUACCAAUUCACCACCACCGAUCCACCACAUCACCAUCGUUCUCCUUCAUCCAUCAUCCCCAACCUUCGCCCAACCUCCACAAAAUUUCUUGUUCUCCGUCACCGAUUCCACCGAAUUCAUCCCUUCAAUUUCUGCCUCUGUUUCUUCUCCAUCAGCGCACGAACCCAACCUCCAUCCAACAAUCCGCUUCAUCUUCAAUCUUCCACCAACAUUCAAUUCAUCACCUUCAAUUUUCCAACAAACCUCAUCAUUAA